This 410-nucleotide ribosomal RNA is filed under the name uncultured beta proteobacterium. RNAcentral's name for it is "bacterial SSU rRNA". It matches the Rfam family "Bacterial small subunit ribosomal RNA", at positions 9 to 412 of the family's 1533-position model. Lineage: Bacteria; Pseudomonadati; Pseudomonadota; Betaproteobacteria. The record is from RNAcentral.
GAGUUUGAUCAUGGCUCAGAUUGAACGCUGGCGGCAUGCCUUACACAUGCAAGUCGAACGGCAGCGGGGGAAAGCUUUGCUUUCCUGCCGGCGAGUGGCGAACGGGUGAGUAAUACAUCGGAACGUGCCCUGUAGUGGGGGAUAACUAGUCGAAAGAUUAGCUAAUACCGCAUACGACCUGAGGGUGAAAGUGGGGGACCGCAAGGCCUCAUGCUAUAGGAGCGGCCGAUGUCUGAUUAGCUAGUUGGUGGGGUAAAGGCCUACCAAGGCGACGAUCAGUAGCUGGUCUGAGAGGACGAUCAGCCACACUGGGACUGAGACACGGCCCAGACUCCUACGGGAGGCAGCAGUGGGGAAUUUUGGACAAUGGGCGGAAAGACCUGAUCCAGCAAUGCCGCGUGUGUGAAGAA